GACGGAGGAGGCAAGCGUUAUCCGGAAUCACUGGGCGUAAAGCGCGUGCAGGCGGCUUCGCAAGUCGGUCGUUAAAUCUCCUGGCUUAACUGGGAGGCGUCGUCCGAAACUGCGGGGCUUGAGGUUGGGAGAGGGAAGUGGAAUUCCCGGUGUAGUGGUGGAAUGCGUAGAUAUCGGGAGGAACACCAGUGGCGAAGGCGGCUUCCUGGCCCACACCUGACGCUAAGACGCGAAAGCGUGGGGAGCGAACAGG
RNAcentral lists this ribosomal RNA (253 nucleotides) under uncultured bacterium. RNAcentral's name for it is "partial 16S ribosomal RNA". It matches the Rfam family "Bacterial small subunit ribosomal RNA", at positions 524 to 776 of the family's 1533-position model. The record is from RNAcentral.